RNAcentral lists this long non-coding RNA (697 nucleotides) under Malus domestica (apple). RNAcentral's name for it is "long non-coding RNA (MDOM_LNC016151)". Lineage: Eukaryota; Viridiplantae; Streptophyta; Magnoliopsida; Rosales; Rosaceae. The record is from RNAcentral.
AAUUCACUUACUCUCUCUCUCUCUCUCUCUCUCUCUCUCUCUCUCUCUCUCUCUCUCUCUCUAAAUCUUAUAUGUUUCCUUCUUCUUCUUCCUAUGCGGCAUCUCUGUUCUCUUUCUGCAUAUUGCUUAACAGAAACCCCUUAUCAGUUUUUGGCUUCAUGUCUCUUCCCUCUAUCCCUCCCUUUCCUUCGGUCGUGCCUUUCUAAACCCACACCUCUCCCCCACCCUUUUCUUAUACCUCUCUUCCUCAUAAUCCAUCCCCCACCCCAUCAUUUGCUCUGAUCUGUAGGCUCCAACCCGAAAAUAGAUGCUAGAUUCAUUUCCCUCCCUCAUUUCCACUCCCUUGACCGGCAUGCCAAAAUUCCCUCGAGGCCAAGUGUUAUGCGGGUUCGGCCAAAGUAAGAGUAUUUUAUAUAUGUUUACAAGGGUUGGUGAAAGAAUUUUGGAUCCAAUGACUAUCUCUUGGUUCAACGUUUUUGGUGAUAAAAUCUAGUUGUGUGUUUUUGGUUGCGGGUUUGUAAUUUUUGCGAUGCGAUGUCUUGGUUGAAUUGACCCACUUGUCGUUUUCUCUAGUGUUGGUGCCCUUAGUGGUUGUUGGCAAGACAUUUGUGGCGAUGGUGGUGGCGGUCAAUGCUUUCUACGCUUGGAGGAUUGAGAUUAUGGUUUUGUUUGUUUGCUUAUUAGUUUGAGCUUUUGU